Molecule: ribosomal RNA, 117 nt
Filed under: Parageobacillus toebii
Lineage: Bacteria; Bacillati; Bacillota; Bacilli; Caryophanales; Anoxybacillaceae
Also listed under: 4 other names
Source: RNAcentral
CCUAGUGACAAUAGCGGAGAGGAAACACCCGUUCCCAUCCCGAACACGGAAGUUAAGCUCUCCAGCGCCGAUGGUAGUUGGGGCCAGCGCCCCUGCGAGAGUAGGUCGUCGCUAGGC